CCCCAGUAAACGGCGGCCGUAACUAUAACGGUCCUAAGGUAGCGAAAUUCCUUGUCGGGUAAGUUCCGACCCGCACGAAAGGCGUAACGAUUUGGGCACUGUCUCAACGAGAGACUCGGUGAAAUCAUAGUACCUGUGAAGAUGCAGGUUACCCGCGACAGGACGGAAAGACCCCGUGGAGCUUUACUGUAGCCUGAUAUUGAAAUUCGGCACAGCUUGUACAGGAUAGGUAGGAGCCUUUGAAACGUGAGCGCUAGCUUACGUGGAGGCGUUGGUGGGAUACUACCCUAGCUGUGUUGGCUUUCUAACCCGCACCACUUAUCGUGGUGGGAGACAGUGUCAGGCGGGCAGUUUGACUGGGGCGGUCGCCUCCUAAAAGGUAACGGAGGCGCUCAAAGGUUCCCUCAGAAUGGUUGGAAAUCAUUCAUAGAGUGUAAAGGCAUAAGGGAGCUUGACUGCGAGACCUACAAGUCGAGCAGGGUCGAAAGACGGACUUAGUGAUCCGGUGGUUCCGCAUGGAAGGGCCAUCGCUCAACGGAUAAAAGCUACCCCGGGGAUAACAGGCUUAUCUCCCCCAAGAGUUCACAUCGACGGGGAGGUUUGGCACCUCGAUGUCGGCUCAUCGCAUCCUGGGGCUGUAGUCGGUCCCAAGGGUUGGGCUGUUCGCCCAUUAAAGCGGUACGCGAGCUGGGUUCAGAACGUCGUGAGACAGUUCGGUCCCUAUCCGUCGUGGGCGUAGGAAAUUUGAGAGGAGCUGUCCUUAGUACGAGAGGACCGGGAUGGACAUACCUCUGGUGUACCAGUUGUCGUGCCAACGGCAUAGCUGGGUAGCUAUGUAUGGACGGGAUAAGUGCUGAAAGCAUCUAAGCAUGAAGCCCCCCUCAAGAUGAGAUUUCCCAACUUCGGUUAUAAGAUCCCUCGAAGAUGACGAGGUUAAUAGGUUCGAGGUGGAAGCGUGGUGACACGUGGAGAUGACGA
RNAcentral lists this ribosomal RNA (978 nucleotides) under Listeria monocytogenes. RNAcentral's name for it is "bacterial LSU rRNA". It matches the Rfam family "Bacterial large subunit ribosomal RNA", at positions 1918 to 2897 of the family's 2925-position model. The record is from RNAcentral. Lineage: Bacteria; Bacillati; Bacillota; Bacilli; Caryophanales; Listeriaceae.